UUCGUACUCCCCCGUCCGAAAAUACUUGUCUUAAGAAUGGUUGUAUCUAGACUUAUUUUAGUUAUAGAUUCAUCUAUUUUCAAUCAUUUCUAAGACAAGUAUUUCCGGACGAAGGGAGUACUGU
This is a non-coding RNA of Triticum aestivum (bread wheat), 124 nucleotides long. NCBI's taxonomy places the organism in Eukaryota, Viridiplantae, Streptophyta, Magnoliopsida, Poales, Poaceae. The record is from Rfam.